This 584-nucleotide ribosomal RNA is filed under the name Cryptosporiopsis sp. C_1_BESC_294q. RNAcentral describes it as "eukaryotic LSU rRNA". It matches the Rfam family "Eukaryotic large subunit ribosomal RNA", at positions 1 to 590 of the family's 3401-position model. The record is from RNAcentral. Lineage: Eukaryota; Fungi; Ascomycota; Leotiomycetes; Helotiales; Dermateaceae.
ACCUCGGAUCAGGUAGGGAUACCCGCUGAACUUAAGCAUAUCAAUAAGCGGAGGAAAAGAAACCAACAGGGAUUACCUCAGUAACGGCGAGUGAAGCGGUAACAGCUCAAAUUUGAAAUCUGGGUCUUUCAGGCUCCGAGUUGUAAUUUGUAGAAGAUGCUUUGGGUGCGGCCCCGGUCUAAGUUCCUUGGAACAGGACGUCAUAGAGGGUGAGAAUCCCGUAUGUGAUCGGUGGCUUGCGCCCGUGUAAAGCUCUUUCGACGAGUCGGGUUGUUUGGGAAUGCAGCUCUAAAUGGGUGGUAAAUUUCAUCUAAAGCUAAAUAUUGGCCAGAGACCGAUAGCGCACAAGUAGAGUGAUCGAAAGAUGAAAAGCACUUUGGAAAGAGAGUUAAACAGUACGUGAAAUUGUUGAAAGGGAAGCGCUUGCAACCAGACUUGCGCGGGGUUGAUCAUCCGGGGUUCUCCCCGGUGCACUCGGCCUCGCUCAGGCCAGCAUCGGUUUCGGUGGUUGGAUAAAGGCCUUGGGAAUGUGGCUCCUCUCGGGGAGUGUUAUAGCCCUCGGUGCAAUGCAGCCUACCGGGACC